GAUGAACGCUAGCGGGAGGCUUAAUACAUGCAAGUCGAACGGUAACAGGUCCUUCGGGAUGCUGACGAGUGGCGCACGGGUGCGUAACACGUACGCGACCUACCUUCAAGAGGGGGAUAGCCCUGGGAAACUGGGAUUAAUACCGCAUAGUAUUAUUAGGUUGCAUGACUUAAUAAUUAAAACUUAGGUGCUUGAAGAUGGGCGUGCGUUCCAUUAGGUAGAUGGUUGAGGUAACGGCUCACCAUGCCAACGAUGGAUAGCGGGUCUGAGAGGAUGAUCCGCCACACGGGCACUGAGACACGGGCCCGACUCCUACGGGAGGCAGCAGUAAGGAAUAUUGGACAAUGGGGGCAACCCUGAUCCAGCCAUCCCGCGUGCAGGAAGAAUGUCCUAUGGAUUGUAAACUGCUUUUAUCAGAGACGAACGGUCGUGAUUCAUCACGGAAAUGACGGUAUCUGAUGAAUAAGCACCGGCUAACUCCG
Molecule: ribosomal RNA, 482 nt
Filed under: uncultured Bacteroidota bacterium
Lineage: Bacteria; Pseudomonadati; Bacteroidota
Description: bacterial SSU rRNA
Rfam family: Bacterial small subunit ribosomal RNA
Source: RNAcentral